UUGCGUGUGCGUGUGCGCUUGACACGGCAGGUCUGGCGGUGGCGUAGGAGGAAGUGGUGAGCGUUCGCACACACAUUGUGGAGGUAAGUUUGCAAAAGCUGCUGCGACUUUCUGCCUCAUCUCCACGGUCCGCGAGGCCGCGUCUUCUCCUUCUGCCGACCCCGACCGGACUCGGUCUCGCGUUCUGAGGGUACGUGAGGUUUUGGAGGCCGCGGAGGACCGUUGCCAGGGCUACGGAUCAUUCUGAUUGGCUCCGAACCCUCCCUAUCCUGCAGACCGGGACGUCUCGGGAGCUGCAUUUGUUCUGAGCAGUAACAGACGAGUCAAAAGGGCAAACGUAGGCCCCCUACUCCCGGUCGGCUACAGAAGUUUCCGCAAUCGUCAGAAUGCCGGUCGACGCCGACGGGCCACUCAAUUAUUCUUCCAACGAGAGCGUUUGGAUGUCUCCGUCGUGCGGCCGCCCUCCCGUCACGUGGACCCGCCACGUCUUCACGGUGGUCUACGGCCUGCUCUUCCUGACAGGUUUGCUGCUCAACGGCGUGACGUUGAAAAUGUUUCUGCGCGGCGCCCGCUCGUCCCGCUGCGUUACCGUCUACCUCAAGAACCUGGCGGCCGCCGACUUCCUGCUGAGUCUUUGCCUUCCCUUCCGCAUCGCCAAGCAUGCCGGCGCUUGGCGACCGCUGCUCCGGGCCUACUGCAGCUUCGGGGCGCCCGCCUUCUACCUCAACAUGUACGCCAGCAUCCUGUUCAUGGGCUACGUCGCCGCCAACAGGUACCUGAAGAUCGUGCGUCCGUCGCGGACCCCCGUCCUGCAGUCGGCGGCGGCGGCUCACGCGGUCUCGGCGGCCACGUGGCUCGUCCUUCUCACCCUGACGGGGGCCUACAUCGUCGUGUCGCUGGUCGCUCUGCCGGCGGACGACGGCGACGCGGCGACCUGCGAAGACCUCCAAAGCCAGCUCCUCAAGAGCUUCUACAAGGUGGUUCACGGCUUCUCGGCCGCCGUGUUCCUGCUGGUCCUGGCGGCGCUGCUGUUCUUCUACUGCGGCACCUCCCGUAGGCUGGCGGCCGCGCAACGCCGGCGGGCGGGGUCCUCCGGCGCCCGGAAGCUGGCCAAGUCUCGGCGGAAAAUCCGGGUCCUGGUGAGCGUCUUCUGCGUGUGCUUCGUGCCCUACCACCUGGUCCGCCUGCCGUACGCCGUGCUGAAGCCUUCCGGCUGCUCGGCCCGGACGGCCUUUUUCUACCUGAAGGACGUCACCGUGGCUGUGUCGGUUUUCAACAUCUGCCUGGACCCGCUCAUUUACUUCCUCUUCUGCGACGCCUUCCGGCACCGACCGAAACGGAGCCGCGCAGCCGCCACCCCGGAGGCUCGGCCGUUCGGCGGCGGCCUGCGGUCACGGAAGAUGUCCGACUGUCCUUCCAGUAUUUGCCUGACUUGACUGUCACCUUGUUUCUCUGAUAAAGUUCUGAAGUAAGAAUAAUUUUAUUGUGUUGUUUUUCCAUAAUUAAAAGAUGUUUCGCAAUAGCUUCGUAUAUGUUUCGCAAUAGCUUUGUAUAACCUAAAAGACGAUCGCCAUAGCUUUGGAUAACCAGCAAUGUCAUAAAAGGAUGUUUGGAUAACCAGCAAUGUCAUAAAAAGAUGUGCUCGUGUUAUAUGAUGUCGUGCAACGCCAUCUGUUGGUAACAAAGAAUAGCGUGGCGUCAGGCGGGAUGAAUUGGCCACUCACCCCUCCUUCCGCACACGCUUAGAGUAUAAAAGGAGAACUUUGGAUACUCUCGGUAGAGUCUGCUGCGGGUUGCGUACGGACGCCCAGCCGGUAUUGAAGCUGCUCUACCUGGAGUGUUGGCUCUCCCUCCUAUUGGCGCACGAGGAGGAAGGGCGCUCCGUCAUGUUGUACUUGAUGAAGACUUCCAGCUAAGACGUCUGACAUCGUGAAAACAAAUGCAAAGAAUGAAACAAUUUUGCCUUUAUUUUAACAUCUGCUCCUUCAGACAAAUAUUGACUGAUUCAUCGAGGAAUCUCAACGCAUCAGUUUGG
Syngnathoides biaculeatus (alligator pipefish) is the source of this 2035-nucleotide RNA transcript. It is a transcript of the gene named P2Y purinoceptor 14-like, with no coding region annotated. The transcript has 6 exons. NCBI's taxonomy places the organism in Eukaryota, Metazoa, Chordata, Actinopteri, Syngnathiformes, Syngnathidae. The record is from RefSeq and is a predicted model, not a curated record.